RNAcentral lists this ribosomal RNA (537 nucleotides) under uncultured Alphaproteobacteria bacterium. Its description in RNAcentral is "bacterial SSU rRNA". It matches the Rfam family "Bacterial small subunit ribosomal RNA", at positions 337 to 864 of the family's 1533-position model. Lineage: Bacteria; Pseudomonadati; Pseudomonadota; Alphaproteobacteria. The record is from RNAcentral.
CCCUACCGGGAGGCAGCAGGGGGGAAUAUUGCACAAUGGGCGAAAGCCUGAUGCAGCCAUGCCGCGUGUAUGAAGAAGGCCUUCGGGUUGUAAAGUACUUUCAGCGAGGAGGAAAGGGUGAGUCUUAAUACGGCUCAUCUGUGACGUUACUCGCAGAAGAAGCACCGGCUAACUCCGUGCCAGCAGCCGCGGUAAUACGGAGGGUGCGAGCGUUAAUCGGAAUUACUGGGCGUAAAGCGCAUGCAGGCGGCUGAUUAAGCCAGAUGUGAAAGCCCGAGGCUCAACCUCGGAAUUGCAUUUGGAACUGGUCAGCUAGAGUUCUUGAGAGGGUGGUAGAAUUUCAGGUGUAGCGGUGAAAUGCGUAGAGUAUCUGAAGGAAUACCAGUGGCGAAGGCGGCCUCCUGGCAAAUAACUGACGCUCAGAUGCGAAAGCGUGGGGAGCAAACAGGAUUAGAUACCCUGGUAGUCCACGCCGUAAACGAUGUCUACUCGGAGUUGGGUGUCUUGACCCCUGAGCUCCGCAGCUAACGCAUUAAG